AAAACAUAUAUUUUUAGCACAAUAUACCAUCUUAGAAAAAUCACAAAGAUAAAUACAAAACUGAAAGCGUAGACUAUGAUAAGAAACUACAUUUGAUAAAAAGUAGUGUAUUCAUUUUAUUGUUAACAACGUUUCACAAAUUGUGAGUGAAAAGUCUAACAGUUUUUUGGCAACUGACUAUUCUAAUGCAUUAGAACCAACAUAGAUACCUAAAGUAGUGGAGGAACUGUAACAUGAAGUAAAAAACUUACAUGAAGCUCUGUAAUAAUGACAAUUAAGCUUUUCUUUUAACCUGAAUUGGCCACUUUUUCCCGAUAAGGAGACAAAUCUCCUAUCUCUGAUUUCCAGAGAUUCAAGAUGCUGGUGGGAGUGAGGUAAAGGGGGCAGGGCCACUGACAUAAUCACGACCAAAAGUGGAAAACCAGGGAACUAAGUCGGGAAGAUGGGACAGGAUGGAACUGAAAUCUACAUGCACAUCUUAAAUUGUGGUGUUCAAACAGCCCAUUUAUAUUGUGCAGGACUUGUGCUAAAAAGUAUUGCUUAAAAAUAACCUUAUUGGAACCAGUACCCUAUGAAAUCCAAAUAAUCUUAAGACUAUUUAAGACUUGUGUUUAAAUGAAAACAGAACUAGAAUGUUCGUAAUGAUUGCUUCCCUUUAUAAAGAGUAAAGAGAGCAAGGUGCACUAAAAGAAGUAUAUGUUUUAAUGUAGGCAAAAAAACAUUUAACAUCUCCUACGUUAAGUCCCUAAUUAAUGGACUGACAUGAUAAAGAUCUGUUAUUAGGGGACACCUUUUAUGAAACUUGAUUUUUUAACUCUAUUCAGCUACAUUAAAUGUACUUAAUUCUUGCACUAAUCUUUAUUUCAACAUGUGAAACGUAGAAGGUUCAUCGCCUGGAGUCUAUAUGUAUAUGUAAAGUCAUGGACCAAUGUUGUAUUUAUUUACGAUAGAACAUUUUUGCAAUUAC
Molecule: non-coding RNA, 967 nt
Organism: Pelobates cultripes (western spadefoot toad)
Lineage: Eukaryota; Metazoa; Chordata; Amphibia; Anura; Pelobatidae
Source: the annotation of a GenBank genome assembly